Molecule: ribosomal RNA, 474 nt
Filed under: uncultured bacterium
Lineage: Bacteria
Description: bacterial SSU rRNA
Rfam family: Bacterial small subunit ribosomal RNA
Source: RNAcentral
AGGACGAACGCUGGCGGCGUGCUUAACACAUGCAAGUCGAACGAGGUUAUAGGAGAGCUUGCUCGAAUAUAACCGAGUGGCGGACGGGUGAGUAACGCGUGAGCAACCUGUCUCACACAGGGGAAUAACGCAUCGAAAGAUGUGCUAAUACCGCAUAGGACCACGGUUUCGCAUGGGACUGAGGUGAAAGGAGCAAUCCGGUGUGAGGUGGGCUCGCGUCUGAUUAGAUAGUUGGUGAGGUAACGGCCCACCAAGUCAACGAUCAGUAGCCGACCUGAGAGGGUGAUCGGCCACAUUGGGACUGAGACACGGCCCAGACUCCUACGGGAGGCAGCAGUGGGGAAUAUUGGGCAAUGGGCGAAAGCCUGACCCAGCAACGCCGCGUGAAGGAAGAAGGUUUUCGGAUCGUAAACUUCUGUCCUAUAUGAAGAUAAUGACGGUAGUAUAGGAGGAAGCCCCGGCUAACUACGUGCC